Cucurbita pepo subsp. pepo (vegetable marrow) is the source of this 2230-nucleotide RNA transcript. RefSeq lists it as uncharacterized. NCBI's taxonomy places the organism in Eukaryota, Viridiplantae, Streptophyta, Magnoliopsida, Cucurbitales, Cucurbitaceae. The record is from RefSeq and is a predicted model, not a curated record.
CCCUAUCGGAGUCUCUGGUUUAUUUCGCGGCAGUUGGAGCCAUAAAAACGGACCACUUCCCUCCCUUCCGGUAGCAGCCUCCGCCUCCGGCAGAUUCUUCCCUCCGACGACAAGGAGCUAAACUGAAUUUGAUCUUCUUGUGAUGGCGAAUUCACCAGAUGUGGAUGCAGAUGAUGAAUUUAGUGAACUCUACAAGGAGUACACUGGCCCUCCACGAUCAACCGCUGUUGUAGUACAAGAUAAGACAAAUACAAAUAAAAGGUCUCAUGGAGGUUUUGAUGAGGAGGAUGGACCUCGUGAUCCCAAUGCUGUGCCAACUGAUUUUACCAGCCGAGAAGCCAAGGUUUGGGAGGCCAAGUCAAAAGCUACAGAGAGGAAUUGGAAGAAGAGAAAAGAGGAAGAAAUGGUCUGCAAAAUAUGUGGAGAAUCAGGUCAUUUUACUCAGGGAUGCCCAUCUACCUUGGGAUCAAAUCGUAAAGCUCAAGAUUUUUUUGAAAGGGUACCAGCCAGGGAUAAACAUGUGAGAGCACUUUUCACUGAUAGGGUAGUACAGAAAAUUGAAAAGGAUAUUGGUUGUAAGAUCAAGAUGGAUGAGAAAUUCAUCAUUGUUAGUGGCAAGGAUAGGCUAAUUCUGGUAAAGGGAGUAGAUGCUGUGCACAAGAUGAUUAAGGAGGAAGGUGAUCAGAAGGGUUUUUCUAGUUCUCGUAUGAGUAGAUCCAGGUCACCUGAGCGAAGCCCAGUUGGCUCAAGAUCACAACGUUCUGACAUCCGUAGAUCACAUUCUGGUCCUACAAAUGCAUCACAAUUUCAACCUAGGUUUAGCAGACAGGAGAAGGCUGUUGAAAACCGCAUUCGUGAUGAUCUGCAGAAAUAUCCAAGGGGCUCGGUUCAAGCAUAUAGCAACGACAGAGUUAGAGGUCGUUCAAGCCACUCAAAAUCUCCUGCUCAUCCACCUUAUUCUGGCAGCUCAUUCAGUUCAUAUGAUAGUUAUCAGAACAAAAGUGCAUAUGGUAGAAUGGAAGGAUGGGAUAGUGAGAGAAGAGGAUCUGAUUUGCAAACUAGUCAUCAGUUCGAGUAUCCAGCUUUUCCCCAGUCUCUUGAAGAAUUGGAGAUGGAGUAUAAAAGGGAAGCAACUGAACUUGGAAAGAUUCGUGACAAAGAAGAAGACGAUGAGAACUAUAAACACCGUGAGACUAUAAGGGAGAUGAGAGAGAACUACACGAAGAAAUUGGCUCAUUUGAGGGGAACACAUGCAAAACAAUGGGAUGAGUUUCACCAACUUGAUGCCCAAAGGCGUCAGCAACAAGUGCACCAGCACAUGGCCGCUUCAGGUUUUGCUGGUUAUAAGCAGCAUAACUAUUCUGAGUAUGAAGGUGGCUCAGUCAAUUCCCAUUAUGAAGGGGCUACUAAUUUAGCGGCCCUUGAUUCAAGAAGCAAGUAUCCAAAUCAUAUGAUGGAGAAUUUUCCUUCAAGGCCUCAUGGUAGUUUUGGGGAGUUUCAACGUCAGAGGCACGACGAUUACGGAAACGCUUACAAACGAUACUAAUUUGUUAACCCCCUGGAAGUAAGUUGGAUUCAGAUCCAUCUUGGGUAGGCCUAAUGCAUGGAGGAACGCCUAAUCAAAGAUCUUUUUCUGUUGUUCGUGUGCCAGUUGAAUCUCUCCAUGAACUCCAGCUUCAAAAUGGCAGAAAUGGCUUCUUCUUAUUGAUUUACUGUUUGUCGGUUCAACAGAGUGUUAGGAAGAUGAGAAGAAAAGAAGGCCCUUUCAUUUCAGGAUCUUGGUAGAAUGAAUGCCCUGCCAUAAUGGGAAGUAAAACCUCUUUACAUGAGUGGUUUAGAUUGUAUGGCUACAGAAGAUAGAGAGUUUGAAAUAGAUCUUGAAGGUGGUGAUUAUACUAGCGAAGAUGAUCUGAGCAGUGAAUCUGACUCGACAUCGAAACCACAUGUUAGGAAAGCUAUCAGUAGGCUUCGGAGUGGGUUUCUGUGCACUAAUGGAUCUAUAAAUCAAGGGUGUAGCUUUGCUUCCAGUAGUAAUUCCACCAAGCUCAAUAAGCUUGGUGUUGAUGAAAACGUGGAGUUGUUGAUAGACAAGAGUUUAGAUGGAGAAAAGAGACGAGAACUCGGAGCUCUUGCAGAGAAGAAGAAGAACGUUAAAGAGACGAUUAAGAACAAUGGAAAGCUUCACAAGCCACCACGACCUCCAAGGGGUCCGUCGUUGGAUGCUGCUGAC